This 386-nucleotide unclassified non-coding RNA is filed under the name uncultured Verrucomicrobiae bacterium. Its description in RNAcentral is "contains 16S-23S intergenic spacer region". Lineage: Bacteria; Pseudomonadati; Verrucomicrobiota; Verrucomicrobiia. The record is from RNAcentral.
UCCUCGUUAGACGAGGCAGUCUGUCCAGAGUGCUCCCCGCUCUCGCGGGGGUGGCAACAGGACACAAGGGUUGCGCUCGUUGCGGGACUUAACCCAACAUCUCACGACACGAGCUGACGACAGCCAUGCAGCACCUGUGCAAACUGGUCUUGCGACCUCGUCAGACUUUCAUCCUUCUACUAUUUGCAUGUCAAGCCCAGGUAAGGUUCUUCGCGUUGCAUCGAAUUAAGCCACAUACUCCACCGCUUGUGCAGGCCCCCGUCAAUUUCUUUGAGUUUUAAUCUUGCGACCGUACUUCCCAGGCGGUGCGCUUAUCGCGUUAGCUACGCCACAAAAGGGGUCGAUUCCUCUUACAGCAAGCGCACACCGUUUACAGCUAGGACUAC